RNAcentral lists this long non-coding RNA (432 nucleotides) under Heterocephalus glaber (naked mole-rat). Its description in RNAcentral is "lncRNA (ENSHGLG00100045093.1)". Lineage: Eukaryota; Metazoa; Chordata; Mammalia; Rodentia; Bathyergidae. The record is from RNAcentral.
GGCAGUGUGCUGACUGGGUCAGACGUGCGGCUCGUGAGGGAAAGGGCCGCUGAGGAAACUCCCCGCUGACAGAUUUAGCGCAGCUCUGGCUGUGUCUGGAGCUCCACUCUUUGUCGUCGCCUUUAGCCAUUGAUCUCCAGGCUUCCAGCGCAGCUCGGGACUCCACAGUGAGCUCCAGGCCUCGGAUUGAAUCUCGCGGAUCUCCAGCGCACAGAAGCCCCUUUGUACUCUUCCACCCCUGACUCUGCAGGCGGCCAUCAUCUGACACAUGCCCAGAGCCUGGGAAAGUUCUUGAGCAACAGUGUGAGGCGCCUCAGCUGGUCGGGAUCUAAGGCUCAGCACGCUGACCACACUCUUCCCACUGGCUUGCUGGCCUGAAAAGGUGCUGGACAAACACAGGAGAAGCAGCGCACCACCACGUUCCAUGCCAAC